This 497-nucleotide ribosomal RNA is filed under the name uncultured bacterium. RNAcentral's name for it is "partial 16S ribosomal RNA". It matches the Rfam family "Bacterial small subunit ribosomal RNA", at positions 28 to 507 of the family's 1533-position model. The record is from RNAcentral.
GAUGAACGCUGGCGGCGUGCCUAAUACAUGCAAGUCGAGCGAACAGACGAGGAGCUUUCUCCUCUGACGUUAUCGGCGGACGGGUGAGUAACACGUGGAUAACCUAACUAUAAGACUGGGAUAACUUCGGGAAACCGGAGCUAAUACCGGAUAAUAUAUUGAACUGCAUGGUUCAAUAGUGAAAGACGGUUUUGCUGUCACUUAUAGAUGGAUCCGCGCCGCAUUAGCUAGUUGGUAAGGUAACUGCUUACCAAGGCGACGAUGCGUAGCCGACCUGAGAGGGUGAUCCGCCACACUGUAUCUGAGACACAUUCCAGACUCCUACGGGGGGACGCAGUAGAGAAUCUUCCGCGAUGGAGCAAAGCCGGACGUUGCAACGUCGCGUGAGUGAUGAUGGUCUUCUGAUCCUAGAACUAUGUAAUUAGUAAAGAUCAAAUGUGUUUGUAACUAUGAUCGUCUUGACGGUACCUAAUCAGAAAGCCACGGCUAACUACGUG